GAAUUUAAUAUAAUUUUAUUUAUAUGAUUUUAUUUGAGAAAGUUUAAGUAGGAUUAUAUUUUGUUGGGAGGAUAGUUAAAUAUUAAUAACUUUAAUUAAGAUUAAAUAUAAAUUAAUAAAUUUUAGAAUGGUUUAUAGAUUGAUUAAGAAUUAAUUACCUUAGGGAUAACAGCGUAAUAUUUUUAGAGAGUUCAUAUUAAUAGAAAUGGUUGC
This 213-nucleotide ribosomal RNA is filed under the name Solenopsis sp. 15 GR-2021. Its description in RNAcentral is "partial large subunit ribosomal RNA". Lineage: Eukaryota; Metazoa; Arthropoda; Insecta; Hymenoptera; Formicidae. The record is from RNAcentral.